Zalophus californianus (California sea lion) is the source of this 1848-nucleotide long non-coding RNA. RefSeq lists it as uncharacterized. NCBI's taxonomy places the organism in Eukaryota, Metazoa, Chordata, Mammalia, Carnivora, Otariidae. The record is from RefSeq and is a predicted model, not a curated record. The transcript has 2 exons.
GCCAGAAAGAAUCCUGAGCAGGGAUGAGGGCAAGCAGUGAUGGCACAUGAAGAGGAUUGGAGGGAUCAUCUAGAGAGCCCAGCGCCAGGUAUAGCUUGCUUAGGAACAAUAGGCCGUCCAGCUCUUCAGCAGCAAACUGGGAAAAUCAACAGGACCGUAGAGAACGAUAUAUAGAAGGGAGGACACUGGGGAGUGAGGCCUUGGGACCGAGGCCGAACAUCAGAGCGAAGAAGCACUGUGUGGACACGUGCCCCAGACUGCUUUCUAGGGAGACAUACCUAGAGGUAGAGAUGAUUUCUUCACACCGAUUACAAAUCCAGCCUCAGGGUACGUGGUGCUCAUGAUGGCAGGUGGGAACCAUCUUUCAAAGUGUGCUCUGCCAAUCAGCAGCACCAGCAGCACCUGGGAGUGUGUUUGAAAUGCAGCGUCUUGGGGCUGGCAUUGGACAUACUGAAUCAGAAUCCGUAUUUUUGCCAAGCCACUCGGUUCACUUGUAUGGCCAAUACAUUUUUCAGAAUCACCCGUCUACUCAAGAUAGCUGCUGGAAAUUGAUUUUGCUAAAGGCAGAGGAAACUUCUAGUCAAUUAUUGGCAUGUGUUCCCGACCAGUUCAUCCACCAGGAGGGAGGGAAACUGCUUAUGCAAGCUCUCUUCUGGCCACAAAGAAGGCUGAAGUUGACAUGAGCUGGGACAAGUAAGGUGAUCUUCUCAUUUACCCUGGAGUUCUUGAGAGUCAAGGUGGGGGCUUGGGGGACAGUCAAAUACUAGAGGCGACAGAGGAGUGGAUUUCAAAGAUGAGCAUGAUGCAAGGUUCUUUAAGGGAAGAUGGCAUGACAAGGUGAGAGCCUUUAAAGACAGAACUUCCGCUAUGUCUGAAACCAAAAACAGUGCCAGUGAGGAAAAAAAGGAGGGUGUCUAAAAAGGUGGGUGUGGCCGCCCAAGGUCACUUAUGGAAUGCAGACAUGCACAGAAGGAGGAAGGAAGAACACACGACUGAGCAGGAAUUUAGAAGACUUACUUGGAUCUAUACCAAGAGUGGCAGGUGGCUAAGGAAAGAGAAAAAAAUGUGACUUGUUAAAGCGUUGGCGAUAAGAGCUUCUCUGGGUAAGUGUGGAGCUAGGAGGGCCAGAGAGGAAUAUUUCUGCUAUUUGGAAAGCAGCAUGUGUCACUGGCUCAACAAGGUCCACCUGACGGCUGCCCCCCACCCCCCCCAACUCUUUCUCAAUCACAUCGUCAUGGCAUUUAUUGCUGCUUGGAAUUAGGUAGUCGAUUUCUUGUUUUCUCAUUCAUUAUCUACUUCGACCUCUUCUAAGAUGUGAGCUCCAUGAGAGCAGUGACUUCAUUUUUCUGAUUGGCCACCAGAUUCCCAGAGCCUGGCCCAUGACAGGUGCCACACACAUGUGAAUGAAUGAACCAAUGAAUGAAGCCAAAUGCCUCAACCCCUGUGUUCUGGGGGAGGUAUCCAAAUUCUGUUCACUUCUGUCUGCUCUGUCCAGACCUGGACAUGAGGCUUUCCAAAGGACAAUAAACUCAAAAAGAAAAGAGGAGAGUUAGUCACCUUCCUUGAGAACCGACGCUGGGUGUGCAUGUGUGACAUAAAUGAUACCACUGAGCUCUCCUGCUAAUUGGGGCUGGUCUUCUCAUUCCCAUUUAACAGACAAAGAAGAGGUUCAGGGAAGUUAAGUGACCUGCCCAAAGCUACCCAGGAAGCUAGAUGUGAACUGAGUCUUUCUGGUUCCAGAACCCACGCUCUUUCUAUUGUGUUGUAUUGAGGCUUGACAGGAACCAGACUAAAAGAGAAAUCAACCCUUUAACUGCUUUAAAUAAACUUAAAUCUCUAAGCCCUGGA